Molecule: ribosomal RNA, 492 nt
Filed under: uncultured bacterium
Lineage: Bacteria
Description: partial 16S ribosomal RNA
Rfam family: Bacterial small subunit ribosomal RNA
Source: RNAcentral
AGUGAACGCUGGCGGUAGGCCUAACACAUGCAAGUCGAACGGCAGCACAGUAAGAGCUUGCUCUUACGGGUUGCGAGUGGCGGACGGGUGAGGUAUACAUCGUAAUCUACUUUUUCGUGGGGGAUAACGUAGGGAAACUUACUCUAAUACCGCAUACGUCCUACGUUUGAAAGCAUUGGUUCUUCUUACCUUUCGCGUUUGAUUUCGCCGAUGUCGGAUUAGCUAGUUGGCUGGGUAAAGGCCCACCAAGGCGACGAUCCGUAGAUGGUCUGAGAGGAUGAACAGAGGAACUGGAACUGAGAAACGGACAAGAGUACUACGGGAGGCAGCAGUGGGGAAUAUUGGACAAUGGGGGAAAGCAUGAUACAGCAAUACCGAGUGGGUGAAGAAGGACUUAGGGUUGUAAAGACAUUUUGUUGGGAAAGAAAAGAAGCAGGUUAAUAACACGCUGUUCUGACGGUAACAAAAGAAUAAGCACCGGCUAACUUCGUG